AUAUUGGGCAAUGGGCGAAAGCCUGACCCAGCCACGCCGCGUGAGUGAUGAAGGCCUUCGGGUCGUAAAGCUCUGUGGGGAGGGAAGAAACCUUCGAGGGAACAAUACCCCUCGGACUUGACGGUACCUCCUUAGCAAGCACCGGCUAACUCCGUGCCAGCAGCCGCGGUAAUACGGAGGGUGCAAACGUUGCUCGGAAUCAUUGGGCGUAAAGCGUGUGUAGGCGGCCUGUUAAGUCGGGUGUGAAAGCCCCGGGCUCAACCCGGGAAGUGCAUUCGAUACUGGCAGGCUUGAGUACGGGAGAGGGUCGCGGAAUUCCCGGUGUAGAGGUGAAAUUCGUAGAUAUCGGGAGGAACACCAGUGGCGAAGGCGGCGACCUGGACCGAUACUGACGCUGAGACACGAAAGCGUGGGGAGCAAAC
This 422-nucleotide ribosomal RNA is filed under the name uncultured bacterium. RNAcentral's name for it is "bacterial SSU rRNA". It matches the Rfam family "Bacterial small subunit ribosomal RNA", at positions 361 to 773 of the family's 1533-position model. The record is from RNAcentral.